ACGCUCGACACCUACGGGGAGGCAGCAGGUGGGGAAUAUUGCACAAUGGGGGAAACCCUGAUGCAGCGACGCCGCGUGAGCGAAGAAGUAUUUCGGUAUGUAAAGCUCUAUCAGCAGGGAAGAAAAUGACGGUACCUGACUAAGAAGCCCCGGCUAACUACGUGCCAACAGCCGCGGUAAUCUGAGCGGGCUGGCAAGGC
Molecule: ribosomal RNA, 200 nt
Filed under: uncultured bacterium
Lineage: Bacteria
Description: partial 16S ribosomal RNA
Rfam family: Bacterial small subunit ribosomal RNA
Source: RNAcentral